This 301-nucleotide ribosomal RNA is filed under the name uncultured bacterium. RNAcentral describes it as "partial 16S ribosomal RNA". It matches the Rfam family "Bacterial small subunit ribosomal RNA", at positions 509 to 809 of the family's 1533-position model. The record is from RNAcentral.
CAGUAGCCACGGUAAUACGAAGGGUGCAAGCGUUACUCGGAAUUACUGGGCGUAAAGCGUGCGUAGGUGGUGGUUUAAGUCCGUUGUGAAAGCCCUGGGCUCAACCUGGGAAUUGCAGUGGAUACUGGGUCACUAGAGUGUGGUAGAGGAUAGUGGAAUUUCCGGUGUAGCAGUGAAAUGCGUAGAGAUCGGAAGGAACAUCUGUGGCGAAGGCGACUAUCUGGGCCAACACUGACACUGAGGCACGAAAGCGUGGGGAGCAAACAGGAUUAGAUACCCCGGUAGUCCCUGUCUCUUAUAU